UACGUAGGGGGCAAGCGUUAUCCGGAUUUACUGGGUGUAAAGGGAGCGUAGGUGGCAUGGUAAGUCAGAUGUGAAAGCCCGGGGCUCAACCCUGGGAUUGCAUUUGAAACUAUCAAGCUAGAGUGCAGGAGAGGUAAGUGGAAUUCCUAGUGUAGCGGUGAAAUGCGUAGAUAUUAGGAGGAACACCAGUGGCGAAGGCGGCUUACUGGACUGUAACUGACACUGAGGCUCGAAAGCGUGGGGAGCAAACAGG
RNAcentral lists this ribosomal RNA (253 nucleotides) under uncultured bacterium. RNAcentral describes it as "partial 16S ribosomal RNA". It matches the Rfam family "Bacterial small subunit ribosomal RNA", at positions 524 to 776 of the family's 1533-position model. The record is from RNAcentral.